Non-coding RNA from Plasmodium berghei, 307 nucleotides. The record is from Rfam. NCBI's taxonomy places the organism in Eukaryota, Apicomplexa, Aconoidasida, Haemosporida, Plasmodiidae.
UGGUUAAAAUACACUCAGCGAUUUAAUUUUGUUAACUCAUUACAAUCGUUAUUUAUUUUUAACCUAAAAAAAUCGAUCUUGAAUAAAUUAUUUUAGGAAUAGUUAUCCUUGUUGUUUAUCUUUUGGUAGGCUGCAUGGGUAAUUAUUACUAGAGUAGUAAUUGUUCUUGGAAGAGCCAUUCCAUAUUCCCAACGUUUUCAACGCCAGUAGGCAGCUUCUCGUUAAGUAGUGUUGAAUAUUGUUGAAUAAACGGAUUGGUACACCAGCAAAAAAUAUGCAUUCGUAUAUUGCUAUAUAUGUUAUAUUC